Lates calcarifer (barramundi perch) is the source of this 120-nucleotide ribosomal RNA. Lineage: Eukaryota; Metazoa; Chordata; Actinopteri; Centropomidae. The record is from Ensembl.
GCUUACGGCCACACCCACCCUGAGCGCGCCCGAUCUCGUCUGAUCUCGGAAGCUAAGCAGGGUCGGGCCUGGUUAGUACUUGGAUGGGAGACCGCCUGGGAAUACCAGGUGCCGUAAGCU